This 507-nucleotide ribosomal RNA is filed under the name uncultured Glomus. RNAcentral describes it as "SSU rRNA". It matches the Rfam family "Eukaryotic small subunit ribosomal RNA", at positions 569 to 1077 of the family's 1831-position model. Lineage: Eukaryota; Fungi; Glomeromycota; Glomeromycetes; Glomerales; Glomeraceae. The record is from RNAcentral.
AGCAGCCGCGGUAAUUCCAGCUCCAAUAGCGUAUAUUAAAGUUGUUGCAGUUAAAAAGCUCGUAGUUGAAUUUCGGGAUCAGUACGCUGGUCAUGCCUUUGGUAUGCACUGGUGUCACUGGUUUCUCCCUUCUGAAGAUCCGUGAUGUCAUUAAUUUGGUGUCGCGGGGAAUCAGGACUGUUACUUUGAAAAAAUUAGAGUGUUUAAAGCAGGCUCACGCUUGAAUACAUUAGCAUGGAAUAAUGAAAUAGGACGUUUGACCCUAUUUUGUUGGUUUCUAGGAUCGACGUAAUGAUUAAUAGGGAUAGUUGGGGGCAUUAGUAUUCAAUUGUCAGAGGUGAAAUUCUUGGAUUUAUUGAAGACUAACUACUGCGAAAGCAUUUGCCAAGGAUGUUUUCAUUAAUCAAGAACGAAAGUUAGGGGAUCGAAGACGAUCAGAUACCGUCGUAGUCUUAACCAUAAACUAUGCCGACUAGGGAUCGGAUGAUGUUAAUUUUAUAAUGACUC